RNAcentral lists this non-coding RNA (1599 nucleotides) under Pongo abelii (Sumatran orangutan). The record is from RNAcentral. Lineage: Eukaryota; Metazoa; Chordata; Mammalia; Primates; Hominidae.
CUUGUCGAUGGCGUCGAUGUUUGAAUGGAGGAGCCACAGCUCCUCCGUGUUGUCCUGCCGGGAGGACAGGAUCAAGUGGUGGCCCGUCAGGCACAGGGUGCCCUCGACAGCCGGGUAGAAAGGCCGGUGCAGCACCACAUUGUCCACCCGCGGGGUCUUAAUCAGCUCCGCAAACUCCAUGCUCCCCCCGCGGCCGGAGCCAGGGAACCGAGCCCGGGAGGUGCGAGGCGGUUACCCCGCCGCAGGGAGAGUAGCGGAAACACCCGGCGCGGGGCUGGCCCGGGGGGCGGGGGCGGGCCGGGCGGUGAGGCUGGGCCCGCCCCAGGCUGGGUGGGCGCGGCGAGGCCUACAGCCGCCGGCACCGGCCGCGGGGAGACAGGGGCUGGGGCUGGGGCUGGGCUAGGCCCAAGCGCCUCUCCCGCACCUCCCGGUUCCGCAGGCCCAGGACUGGGCCACAGAGAACCCCUCUCCACAGGCCCAAGGACCGCCGCUGCCGCUGGGCUCCGGGUCCCGCGUGGGCAAGCGGAGGGCAGUAGGAGGAGGCCACUUCAGGACCCGCUUCCACGCCCUGUUCGCUAGGGACUCCUGGCGGAAGUGGCUACUCACUGCUGGAGCCCACAGCAACUCCGGGCGGAAGCAGCAGGUCUCGAAACUCGGAAGACGCGGAAGUCGCAGCCGGAAGUUGGUCCUCGCUAGGUCCUCUGGAAAUGCCUCCGGAAACACAGCCAGACCAGAAGAUUUGUGUUCCUACGAGAAAAAAAGCUUGUCUUUGCCUUCACGCCCCCCCGCUGCCCUUCUUACCCACCUACAAAUAUUCCUUAUCAGAAGAGGCCCGGGAAGAGGGGAUGACGGGAGGAGGUCCUUGUCUUGCCUUCCUCCGCUUGAGUAGUAUCCCCUCCAGAAGCUCUUCAGAGCGUGGGGCUUCUGUAAAUUUUGAUAAUUGUUAUGCAUUAGCCUGAAGAGAUGGCAAUUAUGGGAUGGAGGCGAUGACUGUGACCUUAGGGAAUCCUCCAGGGGUCAGGGAGGGACACAGGGCCACUCCACAGACUACCCGAGAGCGCCGCGCCACAAGAUGUAACCUGGAGCAAGAAAGAAGAAAAACAGGAAUACCUGUGAGAGGAACCCAAGUAGAUGUAGAUGCAGUGCACAGAAGAGCAAGUCACUUGACUUGCUGGCGGCCACCCAGUUAAUCUGCAGCAGAGCCUGGACUUCAGUCUGCCUCUGUGAAACCCAGCGAAUGGGUGCGUUGGUCACCACCGCACAGCCUCCCCGUCAGACACCCACGUUUUGCCAAAAAUUUAUUCAAAUAAUUACUCCUUUGCUUGUUCCUUUCCCACCGCCCACUUCUGACAUUUUUAUUCAAAAGUAGGAAAUAGAAGAGAAAUAUGUUUGAGUGCUGGUCUGCUGUUACUGCAUUGACCUUUUAAAUCCUCACCGUCUAGUACCUAAGCACAGCGAGUUGGACAAACUCUCACAGUAUUCACAAAGUAAAUUGCCACAAACUCAUCAGCUCAUCCAACACUUGUUCAAGCUUUUGAUUUUACCCUUCUUAAAAUGUACCCUUCUUAAAAUAAACCAUAAACCACUUUAUAGACUUGU